AUUGAACGCUGGCGGCAUGCUUUACACAUGCAAGUCGAACGGUAACAGGCCUUCGGGUGCUGACGAGUGGCGAACGGGUGAGUAAUGCAUCGGAACGUACCCAGAGGUGGGGGAUAACGCAGCGAAAGCUGUGCUAAUACCGCAUGUGAUCUGAGGAUGAAAGCGGGGGACCGAGCAGCAAUGUUUGGCCUCGCGCCUUUGGAGCGGCCGAUGUCGGAUUGGCCAGUUGGUGGGGUAAAGGCCUACCAAGGCGACGAUCCGUAGCUGGUCUGAGAGGACGACCGGCCACACUGGGACUGGGACACGGCCCAGACGCCUACGGGAGGCAGCAGUGGGGAAUUUUAGACAAUGGGCGCAAGCCUGAUCCAGCAAUGCCGCGUGCGAGAAGAAGGCCUUCGGGUUGUAAACCGCUUUUGGCAGGAACGAAACGGUGUCCGCUAAUACCGGGCGCUAAUGACGGUACCUGCAGAAUAAGCACCGGCUAACUACGUG
Molecule: ribosomal RNA, 492 nt
Filed under: uncultured bacterium
Lineage: Bacteria
Description: partial 16S ribosomal RNA
Rfam family: Bacterial small subunit ribosomal RNA
Source: RNAcentral